RNAcentral lists this ribosomal RNA (567 nucleotides) under uncultured bacterium. Its description in RNAcentral is "partial 16S ribosomal RNA". It matches the Rfam family "Bacterial small subunit ribosomal RNA", at positions 355 to 902 of the family's 1533-position model. The record is from RNAcentral.
UGGGGAAUAUUGGACAAUGGGGGCAACCCUGAUCCAGCCAUGCCGCGUGUGUGAAGAAGGCCUUUUGGUUGUAAAGCACUUUAAGCAGGGAGGAGAGGCUAAUGGUUAAUACCCAUUAGAUUAGACGUUACCUGCAGAAUAAGCACCGGCUAACUCUGUGCCAGCAGCCGCGGUAAAUACAGAGGGUGCGAGCGUUAAAUCGGAAUUACUGGGCGUAAAAGCGAGUGUAGGUGGCUCAUUAAGUCACAUGUGAAAUCCCCGGGCUUAACCUGGGAACUGCAUGUGAUACUGGUGGUGCUAGAAUAUGUGAGAGGGAAGUAGAAUUCCAGGUGUAGCGGUGAAAAUGCGUAGAGAUCUGGAGGAAUACCGAUGGCGAAGGCAGCUUCCUGGCAUAAUAUUGACACUGAGAUUCGAAAAGCGUGGGUAGCAAAACAGGAUUAGAUACCCUGGUAGUCCACGCCGUAAAACGAUGUCUACUAGCCGUUGGGGUCCUUGAGACUUUAGUGGCGCAGUUAAACGCGAUAAAGUAGACCGCCUGGGGAGUACGGCCNGCAAGGUUAAAAACUC